Molecule: ribosomal RNA, 296 nt
Filed under: uncultured bacterium
Lineage: Bacteria
Description: partial 16S ribosomal RNA
Rfam family: Bacterial small subunit ribosomal RNA
Source: RNAcentral
UCACCUACGGGAGGCAGCAGUGAGGAAUAUUGGUCAAUGGUCGGGAGACUGAACCAGCCAAGCCGCGUGGGGGAGGAAGGUACAGAGUAUCGUAAACCUCUUUUGUCAGGGAACAAAGGCGGGGACGUGUCCCCGGAUGAGUGUACCUGAAGAAAAAGCAUCGGCUAACUCCGUGCCAGCAGCCGCGGUAAUACGGAGGAUGCGAGCGUUAUCCGGAUUUAUUGGGUUUAAAGGGUGCGCAGGCGGGCUGUUAAGCCGGCGGUAAAAAUUCAGGGCUCAACCCUGUGCAGCCGCCG